Molecule: small RNA, 1267 nt
Filed under: Cryptococcus neoformans H99
Lineage: Eukaryota; Fungi; Basidiomycota; Tremellomycetes; Tremellales; Cryptococcaceae
Description: Cryptococcus neoformans var. grubii H99 hypothetical RNA
Source: RNAcentral
CGUUGGUACAUUACAGAAAAUCUAUAAACAUCUAAGGGGAGCCCAGAAAUAAACGAAGCCCUUUUUUAACUAUGGCGAUGUGUGUAAAACCCAUCAUUGUUUGAAUGGCAGAUUAGUACUGCUUCCUUCUAUUAGUGGAACCUUUCGGUCUUCCUCUACCCCUCUUGACAGGUUCGCCAUCAAGUAGCUUCGGCACUCCUCUUCCUUCAUCAUGCGUCUCCAUCUUCUUCCCCUUCUUAUUCAAAGAUCCCUUGGGUCGUCCCCUUGGCCGCUUUUCUGACGAAUCAGCGGGUCGUAGUGCAACUGAAUUCUCAGCCGCAAAACCUUCCUGCACUCGACCCCUGUUCGACCCCUUUGGUCUUCCCUUUCCCUCCCUUUCCCGACUGUCCGCCUCACCUGCCGGGUGAGAAGAUUCCGCCAAAGUAUCUUCAACAGCAGCCUCUUCAUCAGGAUUCCCCUCAUAACUUCGGUCUGAGGCAUCAAUUCGCGGUCGUUUGGGUGACCGCUCUUGUUCGCUCUCUGGAUCGGAAACGGAUACGGCUAUCAUUUGAGUCGCAUUUCCUUGAACCCUUUGGCUAUGCGGCCCUUCAAGGUGAUUGGCAUUUUUCGCCGAAGGCCAAUAUCUUGAUGCGGGGCCGGUGCGUUGUUUACAUUUGUCUUGUUCAUGUGAAGACUGAACAGUGACCGGAGUAGUAGUGGUUAUGGGAUGUUGGUUCUUGAGCCAAAGGGAGCGAAGAGUAAAAUAGUACAGAAUGCAGGACAAGAAGCGACAUACCUCGUGUCACUUCGGGAACUUGUUCUUCACGAGUCCAUUCCGGAUCGAUUGCAUACUUCGAUUUAUACCACCCCUCUUUCAUCCUUUUGACCAACCUAAUGCAUCAAGAAUCAGUCAUCGUCCUGUGUUUUACCCUCUUCAGCAAGACCACUCACAGAUGCAGACGAUUCCGCACAGGAUGAACCAUCCCGCUUGUCCAUUUAUCCGUUGCCUCCCACCCAUUUGCUGAUCUUCGCACCCACCCCUGUACUUCUUUGUCUCUCAUCCAAGGCUCUUGCUUCAAGACUUCAAGACAAAGUUCGCGCUCGAUGAGCCAACGAUCCCCUGUAUUGUUGCCGAAGAUACAAGCACUAUACCUCGAGUUGGCUGCAAUAAGAUUCACGAGGUGAUUAGUGAGACGGGGUUCAGAAUCCCAGCUGAGGACUGUCAGUAUAAAUGUGUAUGUGCAUCAAGGUUAUGGACAUACUUAAUGCGAAUGUCCUUGUUCUGGAC